GAAUGGGGCUGGCUGAGCACCGUGGGUCGGCGAGGGCCCGCCAAGGAAGGAGCGACCGACCGAGCCAGGCGCCCUCCGCAGACCUCCGCGCAGCGGCCGCGGGCGCGAGGGGAGGGGUCUGGAGCUCCCUCCGGCUGCCUGUCCCGCACCGGAGCCCGUGGGGUGGGGAGGUGUGCAGCCUGUGACAGACAGGGGCUUAGAGAUGCAAACAGACUCAGGGAGAGAAACAGAAGCUGAUUCUGUGACAGAAGCAGAUCUGUGCAGCACAGAUGCGGUGUGCGUGGGGAGGGGGUCGCCUGGGAGCGCAUUGCGGAGUGCUUGUGUGUGCAGAUUUUUCUCUGGGCUCAGGACUCAUUGUAUGUGGGUCAACACCUUCCUCCGUGACUGUGUUUUUGUUCUGAGCUGAGUUUUUUGGUUUGCCCUUAAAAAAAUAAUAAUUUGGCAUCCAGAGACUGGCAGACUGCCUCAGGGCCUGGACUGCGGAUAUAUUGUGUUCUGCUUGAGGUUUGGGGAGGAGGGCAGGCGGUAGGAAGGGAGAGGGGGAGCUGUUUGUCACACUUUGCUGUAGAGCUGAGAGCACCUGACAAGCUUAAGGAAGUCGUUGGGCUAUGUGGACAAGAAGGAGCCAGCUCCCAGCGGGUUCACAAGCUCUAUCGGAGUUGAAAGCGUGGUCAUGGCUCUAAGGAGCACCUCACGCCCUCCCUGUAGCUGUUAUUGCAGUUUCAGGCAGAGAUCCAGGAGCUGCAGAGGAAGGGAGAGGCACAAUAACCUACAUGGACCCAAGGGAGACAUGUGUUCCUUUAAAAAUGUGAACAGAAGGAAAAACAGAAUGUGUGCAACUGGGGGUCUGAGGAAAGACUGUUUUGAAAGAGGCUGUCAGGGAAUGGAAAGGGUUAAGCUUUUCAUCCUGAAGAACCUGCUUCCCAAAUCAGGCCUUCCUCCCAUCACUAGACCCUGAGCAGCAGCUGGUCCUAGAGACCCCCCUCGUACUGCGCUGCCACAGUCUCAUCCCAUUUCCAGCUCUGUAUUAACCACCAAGCUGCAGCGGAUGGGGCAAGACCUAAGCUCAUUAAUUUCCAGGUGGAGGAAAUGGAGGAGGGGCAGGUCCCUGCAGUAGAGGGAGGAGCAGAGAAAGGAGGCCAAGAGCUGGAUCCUUCUGCCCAGGAAGCCUGCUGCAUCCCUUCCCCCGAGCAUGGCAGAGGCCUGGCUUUGCAAGGCCAAGGCCAUAAGGGAUGCUUAGGAGAUUAAUUUGAUUCCUGACACAAUAAUCAAGCCCUAAGAGUCUCCACUGAAGCUUACUGAGGACUUCUUUCCUCUCCAAAGCCUCAGUCUAGCCUGCUAAAUAAAUUAGUAUUCAGUGAUGCCUUGGAUCAGGGCCCCUCCCCGGCCUCAGUUUCCCCAAAUAUUUAUUAAGUACCUACUGUGUGCAAUCCUUGUGUAAUUAUUAACUCUUAGGCUCUUCAUUUGCCCUCCUAAAGCAGUGUUUAGAGUCAGGCAGAGGUUAAGUGUGUUGCACCUCACCUAGAUACUUCCAGAACCUUCUCUGGGUCUGCAGAAUGUGGCACAACCUGCUUGCCCCCGCAGAGAGAAAGCUGCAGUGCACAUCCUGCAGACUGCAGGUGCUGGGCUGCCUCUGGAGUCCCAGAAGGCAAGCUUGGCUGCAGGACAGAAAGGGAGAACAGCUUCUCUCACCCCUGAGCCUUCACAAGCCCUUGUCUAUUUGCCGUUGCCUUCAAAAUAUACCUCCCCCGAAACCAGUAGCUUUCUGAGUCCUGGUGUCCCCUCCGCCCUUUCUGGACAGGUUUGGGAAGAAGAAAGCAGUCAGUGCUGGGCCUUAUUGGGGUGUGAAGCGCCUUGCUCUGCCCCUUCUGCUCACUGUGAAGGCCGCUGGAUGCUUCUCUUAGGCAUGGUUUAAGCCUCCGAUUACUAAACCCCUUGCCCCACAAACGUCCACAUUGACGAGCCUCUUUUUAGUAACUGCUUCCCCGUAAUUCCUUCAGAGGUUGCUGUACCCUUCGCUGAUGUGCUGCCCUCCUGUAAAACCUCCAGAUGCCUUCCCACGUAAUGCCCCUUUCAGAUGCUUUAAGCUGAGAGCUUAAACCACAGGUACCAUGGCUGACGCCUGCCAGGUUUCUGCUGCAGAUAAUCUAUGAUGGGAGGGGCAUAUUUUUUACUUCAUUACUUAUGUAAACUCUUGUUCCAGAAAGCUUUAAUGUGUGUGGGAGUGUUCUGGGUCUAUUAGGUCUGUGCGCAUGGGUGUGGGCAUUUGCCUGUGUCCACCGGGUGGGUCUCAUUAUGAAAUGUAUGUUUAUGUAGGGCUUUAAUGGCUGAAAAUGGCAAAGAGAUGAAUAGACCACUUGGCCCCAUGUGUAAUUGCCAGGCCCCUUCUGUGCUCAAAUGAGGUGUCCGAGUGAAGGUCAGCCCUUCCCUUCUGUAUUUGGGGCCUAUUUAUGCCACCAGUAAUUUUAUAAGAAAUCUGAAUAGUUCUCCCCUUUGAGUGCAUUUAACUCUUUAGUAUCUUCUCUCUUACCUAUUUGAGCCCCUCUAGCUACAGUCUGGCUUAAAUGAAAGGGGAAUUAUAUGCUUAAGAAAAAGUAGGACACGGUUGAGGCAGUUUGCUGACUGAAUACGCGAAGAAGGACCUGAUGGGCUCAUAUGCACCACUGCCAUCACAGUCCCCAUCGUGAUGCAAGCUUAUAUGAUUCUUGAGAAACAGCCCAGAUCUCCUCUUAAGCGGAAAAGAGAUUGACCUUCUAGCAGAGGCAAAGGUAAACUCCUGUAAGUUACUUCUGUUACCAAAGGGAGGGGGGCGGCUUUUGUGAAUGUAUGAGGAGCUUUUGCCAGAGAGAUAUUCGGAGGAGGGGUGUGCCCAUAUGCACACAUAUAUUUUCCCGCAUAACCGUAUCCAAUGCUAGCAUUUAGAGGAAGGCAUUUAGCCACCAAAAGUCCAUCCAUCUAUGCUGCUUCCACAGAGAAAACAUUUUCUCUUUCCUCCUCUUGAACUUACAUAAUAUCCUCCUCCCAUUCCAACCUUAGAAUGGAGUCUUCUGGGGGCAGCUGCAAAGCGUUCUCCCUAGGACAGAUGGAGCCUCCCUUUCCUCAUCUACUCUGUGGGUGGUUUCAGGGCCCACGAGUCAACAUGAGGAGUUGUGCUGGUGGUAUGUGUGUUGGAGGCUGGGCUGGCUGAUUCACAGUGACGAGGAUGUCAAUAAUAACAAGAAUGAGAAUGAUGGUACCUAAUAAAGACUUUUU
Homo sapiens (human) is the source of this 3252-nucleotide long non-coding RNA. Ensembl annotates it as MIR124-1 host gene. Its record names the gene MIR124-1HG. NCBI's taxonomy places the organism in Eukaryota, Metazoa, Chordata, Mammalia, Primates, Hominidae. The record is from Ensembl.